UUCCCAGGAAUCUGAACUACUUACUGCACCAACGGAGGAUUCUAAAAGAGAAGAAACCAAGUGUCUUUCAUGCGAAAGAGAAUUUAAACGAGCUUCCCAUUAAAAGACCCACAUGCGAAGUAACUGUGGAGCUAAUAAAUCCCACGUUUGCCCUAUCUGCACCAAAUCAUUCGCAACCGCUCAAGCUUUGACGGCUCACGAUAAGUCUCAUGCCGACCCAGACUCAGAACCUAU
Molecule: long non-coding RNA, 234 nt
Organism: Daphnia pulicaria
Lineage: Eukaryota; Metazoa; Arthropoda; Branchiopoda; Diplostraca; Daphniidae
Exons: 3
Source: RefSeq, a predicted model, not a curated record